This is a long non-coding RNA of Gasterosteus aculeatus aculeatus (three-spined stickleback), 2157 nucleotides long. The record is from Ensembl. Lineage: Eukaryota; Metazoa; Chordata; Actinopteri; Perciformes; Gasterosteidae.
GUGGGAGAGUUGCGAGCAGGCUGAUGUAUUCUGGCAGUCCUGAAUAAAUAAGUUCCGUGAUACCCGCCAUCGUUUUCGGUGCUUAUUACAACCCACCGAUAUAUCACAUUGGCGAUGGGGAUGACCGGUCUGCAGUGAGGGGAUUCGGCGCGAUGGAAAUGUGAAGGAAGCGCAGGGAUUUUCCCGAACGGCAAGACCGAGGAAAUGGCGCUAAUCGGACGAGUGGACGAGUUUAAGUAGUCACGGGAGGACUUUGCAUCCUACCUGGAGAGAUUUGAAAUCUGGCUACAAGCAAACAAUAUUACGGAGGAAAAGAAGCGUCAGCGUCACCAUUGCACAUCUCUUCAGUGGCAAACAGUUGGAUUCAGCUUUGUAAUCCAAGAUACACAGCAUUUCUUCUUGAGGUUCUGCUGAAGUGGAUCCCACCAGAGACCAGCGACAGUAUUAAGGAUGAGAUGUCAUCUUCACAACAGUAUUCAUUUUACCUGACAGAUCAAUGUUGCAGCAGUGAGCAGGACCUGGAGAGAAAAGGGAGACUCUGCAGCAGACGCUCAGGGGCAAGGCCGAGGAGAGGAGAGGAGCGGAGUGGACGAGGACAACUACGCGAAACCUGCUCACUGCGAGAAAAUAAAUAAAACUUAUUCCUCAGAAGAAUCAUGUCUCCGUGCGUCCUUACACGAACCUUAAAAGGUGACAACCCUGAUGACGGAGAGGGACCGAUGCAGCCGGCGAUCACACUCGGUCGGAUGCUGGGGGAGAUUGCGGCGAUGCAGAGCGAGCAGGCCGAGUCCAACCGGCUUUUCCUGGGGGCGCUGCAGGCACAGGCGGACCGGCAAACCCAUGUGAUGGAGCUGUUGGCGGCCCGGCCAGUUGCGGCCCCGCUGGCGCCGGGUUCCCCGCCGUAUGACGCUGCAUAAGAUGACCCUGGGGGAUGAGGUGCAGUCGUUCCUGGAGAUGUUUGAGGCAAUGGCGGGGUUUCGAGGGGCGAGGCUGGGGCCGGGGGACCGCCCAUUCGCGUUCGCACAGAGGCUCAGAGACGCGGCCAACAGGUGGCUGUAGCCGGAGGGCACGGGAGGAGCGCCGGCGGUGGUGGUGGAACAGCUACUGGAGGGUCUGCCGCUGCGGACCGCGGCCUGGGUCCGUUACCACCGGCCGGCGACGCUGGAGGCCGCCGUCACCCUUGCGGAGGACCACCUGGCGGGUCACCCCGGCGGGCCGGGAGAGGGCGGUCGGCCGGCCACAUCACCACAGCCCGUCCCCACGCCACAAAGGAGGGCCCCGCAGCCGGUCGCAGCUCGGGCCCUGCCGACCCCGCGAGAUCCAGCCUUUCAAUGGAGUACUGAUCCACCCGGCCUGACCGGCACUCUCCCCAACUUACAGAGGGCUCCUCAACCGCCAGGGCAGGAGUGUUGGAGGUGCGGGCAACCCGGACACUACCGGCGGGAGUAGUUUCCGAAGCGUCAACCAAUGCAGGGUACACAAAAGUUUAAAGAAAGAAUGUGCAUUGCCUAAAUUGGUACUCACCUGCUGUGUGUGCCCUUCUUUACAAUUGCCUUUCAGUGCAGUAUCUAAAGAACCAAAGCCAAGGAGUGGUGAGUAGCUAAUUAGGAAAACCUAAAACAGUUUGAUUUCCCCAAACCGGUGCGAGGUAUGCGAAGGCAGUACCAGUCGAUUGCGUGCCAUCGCUGAAAAAAAUGACAUUACGUCACACAUGCGCGGCCUACCAAAACUAAUGUAAUGCUAAUUGCUAGGUUUGACCCAAUCCAAGUCUGUUUUGCCUUCUCUUCUGAAGCAGAAGAAACUUGAAUCCUUAAACUCCACUUUUGUGGUGUCAAAACACCACAUGGUUAUUGUUCACUUCAUUAGGGUGUCAAGCGAUUGCUGUUUUGCAUUUUGAGGAGUUUCUGCGGAGGCCAAUCGACCUUUUGUCUCCUAAACGACGGGGGAGUGGUCAGCGCAGCCGUAGCCGACUUCGACUAACGAGGGAGUAUUUAACUAGAGGUCGAGUGAAGGAUUAGCUUCAGCGUUUGCAUAACGGGGAAAGACGAAGACGAGCAGGACAAAGCCUAGAGAGUCUUUCGUGGGAGUCAAGACGAGCAAUUCCCCCCCCCCCCUGAACGGACGAAUUCCAGACGGCUCAAACUGGCAGAGAGCGGA